UAUAAGUUCCAGGGAGCCGAAUCAGAUCCAAACAGGUCAGAUUCACUCCAGGACUAAAAGGCACCAGAGUGGCCCGGACUACAAUGAAACAACAAUCAACUCCAGGACGUGGCAGCACCCCCAACCCCCCAAAGACGAUCAACGCCCCAGGCCAUCAGGAAGCAGCCUUAAGACAUCUUCGCCCCUACUUCCCUAACCUGCCACGCCCAAUUCUCUAACUUUUAUAAUAAACAACAGCCGGGAUUGUAAGAAC
Molecule: non-coding RNA, 253 nt
Organism: Cricetulus griseus (Chinese hamster)
Lineage: Eukaryota; Metazoa; Chordata; Mammalia; Rodentia; Cricetidae
Source: RefSeq, a predicted model, not a curated record